UCUAACCCUUAUCAGUAUAGAGAGAGAAUCAGUGAAUCAUGUACAGAGAGAGAAACGGAAGGAGGGGAGCCGGCCAAGGCCUCCGGCCGGCCACCCUAAUCCGACAAUAGUAGGGUUGGCGAUGGAGGCUGCUCGAUGCAAGUCAGGUCAUCGCACUGGCGGUUAACCGCCGUAAUCCAAGUGGUGUCUAGGGUUUCGUUGGUAACAACAACUACAAUAGCAAGAUGAUUCAUUCACAACAUGAACAUUAUCUUUCUUAAUUAACUGUUUGCAUCAAUUUAGGUUGGCGAAAGCCGGUGCGGCUAACACCUAGGCUGAAUCUGUAGCUGCUGAUCUUGAUGCGGAUAUCGCCUUGCUUAUGUUAAGACACUAAUUCCAUUCCGACCAUCCGACCACAUUCCAGUCCGCUGCUAACUAGAAUUGUUGCCUCGGUUUAUAUUCUAAUACAUCAGCAAGAUCAGCAGAGGAAUCUGGUUGUGAUUCCGAAUUUGUGGAAUUGGAAGGUUGUUGUUGGCACACGUCAUAUGGCUAUGUUGCUAUCAUGUUUGGAAGACCAGCCAAAGGGUUGUUUGACUGAAUGAAAAUAAUAUGCAUGCUGCAAGGGAUAACUACGGAUGUUGUAAGAUACUACUACUAUAAUUGAGUGAUUUGUGGAAUCUAUGGUUAAUCUCAAAUGUGCAUUUGAGAGUUAGUUAAUGAUUCUUUUAGUUGCGCUGUUAAGUUACUUGAGUCGAUUAGUGAAUAUGUAGUUUUAAGACAUAUCUUAUGUGAAAACCAUCAAACGAUCAAUGUGCUGCUUGAUCGAUCUAUACUAUACAAGCUUGCUGCCACAUUUUGUUUCAUGUUUAAUGAAGAACCUAGAUUGCUUUUAAAUGAGAUACAAAGUUGUGAGGCUUCUUGACCUUUGACUAAUCCAUCAGAAUUAUAAUACAAAACUGUAGCAAGCAUUUUCUUGAAAACGGCAAUAGCUUACCUAGAACGACAAUAGCCUUGCAUCAUUUUUUUAAGACUAAAAGAAUCUGACAUCAACAGUCAAGCGGGGAUAAUAUAGAGAACUUUGAUCAACAAAGAUAUGUGUUCAGGUAUUUAUACCAAACUAUUUUAAUGAAGAUAUUAUAACAAGUACAUGCUGAGAUUGUUGGGUAUGUCAAGUUAUUCAGAUCCUGGGUACAGCGGUGGCAACUGGCUAUGGACGCGGCUUCUCCAUUCGUUCUGCGACUCUUCGACAAAGGGGCUAUUUGAGUAUUGGUUCUCAUGCUGCAAUAAAAUGUAUGUGAUCAGUUUUCGAGGUGGUGUUUGUAUGUUGAGGAUCAUGUUCAUUAGUGGUGGUUCAACAUUUCAAAGACAUAAAGCAAUAGGUCUCACGCCACGACACGACACGCGGAGACAAGAAAAUGAUUAAUUUCCAUAAUUUUUAUUUUAUGUUGAAAUGAGAUGUUUGCUGUAUUGUUUGCAGCUGGAAAAAAAAUGUAUGGCGGCUUCAAGUGCCAAAAAAAACCAAAACCGCCAUGAUUCCAGACACACAAAGCUUUUUCACUGGAUGCUGCAGACCCAUAGCUGACCAGGGAGCUUGCCAUUUUUAAAAGGGCAAGAAUGAAGCGUAUGAAAGCCCCGCUCUUGCAAAAGAAAUCUUGAAAUGCCUCAUCCUCAUCCUUGCAUCAUCUAAAGACGAGAUGCCAAGAAUGAUAGGAAGGGGAAACACCUUUUGCAUAGUUGCCUACUAGGAAACAACCGCAACUGGAAACCGUAGUUCAAGAAGCCACAUCGCUUGGGACAAUGUCUUUUGCGUAAGUUAUGUAACUAACAUGCUUAAUGUUAGUCACGUAACUUGCAACCAUAACAUUUCUAUAAAAUCUAAUUACUAACUUAUUGCUCUAGCUUAUGUAAUUAAUCAUAUCGAUGUGACUCAACGAUAACUGGCUGAAUAUAACUAUAAAUCUAUUUCCCACCGCAUCGCGGCGGGUUACAUUUCUAGUUGGUA
Long non-coding RNA from Helianthus annuus (common sunflower), 1981 nucleotides. RefSeq lists it as uncharacterized. The record is from RefSeq and is a predicted model, not a curated record. Lineage: Eukaryota; Viridiplantae; Streptophyta; Magnoliopsida; Asterales; Asteraceae. The transcript has 5 exons.